Molecule: ribosomal RNA, 503 nt
Filed under: bacterium
Lineage: Bacteria
Description: bacterial SSU rRNA
Rfam family: Bacterial small subunit ribosomal RNA
Source: RNAcentral
UAAUACCGGAUAGGACCUCGGGAUGCAUGUUCCGGGGUGGAAAGGUUUUCCGGUGCAGGAUGGGCCCGCGGCCUAUCAGCUUGUUGGUGGGGUAACGGCCCACCAAGGCGACGACGGGUAGCCGGCCUGAGAGGGCGACCGGCCACACUGGGACUGAGACACGGCCCAGACUCCUACGGGAGGCAGCAGUGGGGAAUAUUGCACAAUGGGCGCAAGCCUGAUGCAGCGACGCCGCGUGAGGGAUGACGGCCUUCGGGUUGUAAACCUCUUUCAGUACCGACGAAGCGCAAGUGACGGUAGGUACAUAAUAAGCACCGGCCAACUACGUGCCAGCAGCCGCGGUAAUACGUAGGGUGCGAGCGUUGUCCGGAAUUACUGGGCGUAAAGAGCUCGUAGGCGGUUUGUCGCGUCGUCUGUGAAAACCCGCAGCUCAACUGCGGGCUUGCAGGCGAUACGGUCAGACUUGAGUACUGCAGGGGAGACUGGAAUUCCUGGUGUAGCGG